Long non-coding RNA from Suricata suricatta (meerkat), 1628 nucleotides. RefSeq lists it as uncharacterized. The transcript is spliced from 7 exons. NCBI's taxonomy places the organism in Eukaryota, Metazoa, Chordata, Mammalia, Carnivora, Herpestidae. The record is from RefSeq and is a predicted model, not a curated record.
CCACAGGGGAGAGCUUUUCCUCUCUCGUAUACAGCUGAACCCCCCAGGACUCAGCCCCGUGCAGGCACCGUGACUGCUGAAUGAAUAAAAUAACAUAGUGAAAGCCGACCAUGCAGCGGCAGUAGGGUGAGGUGCUCCAAAUGCACACGGCUGCUCAUCCCUUACAGUGCUGAGCAGGGAGGGCGUUCUUAUUCCCAUUUUAUGGAGGAGGAAAUAGUGGUGGUGUAGUUGUAUUCAGGUGCAUUUGUGAAGCUUUGCAUCUACAGAGCCACCUGGUCCCCCAGCCCCCACCUGAGAAUAGGUCCUAAAGUCUAACAUUUAGAGACUCCAAAAUCCCUACUUAUUUGUGUAAUACAACUCAGAGAGCUUGGAAGUGGUGUUGGAAAAAACACUGCAUUGAGAAGUACCAGUCUGAGGCGAUGCAUAUGGUAAAUCAGGAAUUCUCCAGAAAACCCUCGAACCUGUUGGCCUGGACCGUUCCCUGAAGAAUUGCAGAUUUGCCACGUGACAUCUUUGACCUACACAGUGGGACUGAACAGCGGGGGCCUGGAAACACGAGGAGUCUGAACACCACCUUGUGAGGCUGGAGUCGUCGGCAGCCACCACCCGCUCCAAGCUCCAAUCUGGGCAUCUGUAAAACAGAAGCGGUGAGCCAUCCUUGCCUUUCUGGGCUCUGCAAGACACACGGCACCAGUAGAAGACAUGACUGGUGAUGGCUCCAUAAAGGCCACUGUGCUGCUUUCAGAGAACUUCAAGUGACGUGUGAUGGCAAAAGAAUAAGAUCAGCAGGAACUUCAAGGAGCGGGAAGAGAAAGACUCCAAAGAGGAAGAAGAAUAAAUUGGAGAAUGAUGGUCAGCCCAUAAAAGUCUGCUCCAGCUUAAGCUUGCUUGAACUCCUCGGAAGCCAUCGUACAAGGAGGGGAGGAAGCCGAGGAAGAAGAGGAUGAAACUGCCAUAAAGGGACAGGUGCGGUGUUUGUUUGACUCAACCAAUGCACGUGCCUUCCAUGAAGACCUAAAUGGCAGUGGUGGAUUCUUCUCCUGGCUUCAGGACCUCUGUGACCUCCACGCUGUGCUCCCCAGCCCCGGAGUGGGGUCAAGAGAGCUGUGCUCCAACAGCCCAGAGAGUGACUGUGCUGACCUGGCGGGGUGUUUGGACCCAGGGCAGAUGUAAGUGUUGGAGACUGGGCUCUGGCAGACCUCACGAAACCUUGAUUAGCAAUUUAACCCUGUCAUCGCUUCUGUCCGCCCGCCGGGGACGAGGAUUGCUUCACUGGCAUGUGCACCGAGGCAAAGAAAGAGUUUUCGAGAGAGGUCUCCGUGGACGGGUGGAAGUUCAGCACAGAGGCCCAGAAGUUUCCAGGAUGUUCAGACCCCAAGCACUGAAAAGCACAGGGCUCCUUUCCAUGUGCAUUACAGACUCAAAUGAAUACGCAGUCAGAGAGGCAAGAACAUCCCAACAUAAAACCCUGAUGUGUUUUUUAAAUUCCUAAUUCUUCCAAAAAUUGCUUCUGCCUGUGGGGAGAGGCGGCUCCCCUGUGCCUGGUCCCCAAGCAGGUGUUUGGUCUGCACCCUGGAAACCCAAUCCCAGAAUGGGUGUGAAAAAUAAAGUUUGUUUGUCAAAGUCUA